This 434-nucleotide ribosomal RNA is filed under the name uncultured Lachnospiraceae bacterium. Its description in RNAcentral is "partial 16S ribosomal RNA". It matches the Rfam family "Bacterial small subunit ribosomal RNA", at positions 341 to 792 of the family's 1533-position model. Lineage: Bacteria; Bacillati; Bacillota; Clostridia; Lachnospirales; Lachnospiraceae. The record is from RNAcentral.
ACGGGAGGCAGCAGUGGGGAAUAUUGCACAAUGGGGGAAACCCUGAUGCAGCGACGCCGCGUGAGUGAAGAAGUAUUUCGGUAUGUAAAGCUCUAUCAGCAGGAAAGAAAAUGACGGUACCUGACUAAGAAGCCCCGGCUAACUACGUGCCAGCAGCCGCGGUAAUACGUAGGGGGCAAGCGUUAUCCGGAUUUACUGGGUGUAAAGGGAGCGUAGACGGUAAGGCAAGUCUGAAGUGAAAUGCCAGGGCUCAACCCUGGAACUGCUUUGGAAACUGUCCUACUAGAGUGCAGGAGAGGUAAGUGGAAUUCCUAGUGUAGCGGUGAAAUGCGUAAAUAUUAGGAGGAACACCAGUGGCGAAGGCGGCUUACUGGACUGUAACUGACGUUGAGGCUCGAAAGCGUGGGGAGCAAACAGGAUUAGAUACCCUGGUA